GACGGCCAUACUACAUGCUGAAUAUACCGGUUCUCAUUAGAUCACCGAAGGCAAGCAUCAUUGGGCGCGAUCAGUACUUGUGUGGGUGAUCACCUGGGAACACCGCGUGCCGUU
This 114-nucleotide ribosomal RNA is filed under the name Caerostris extrusa. The record is from RNAcentral. Lineage: Eukaryota; Metazoa; Arthropoda; Arachnida; Araneae; Araneidae.